This 107-nucleotide ribosomal RNA is filed under the name uncultured bacterium. RNAcentral describes it as "partial 16S ribosomal RNA". It matches the Rfam family "Bacterial small subunit ribosomal RNA", at positions 1379 to 1482 of the family's 1533-position model. The record is from RNAcentral.
CCUUGUACACACCGCCCGUCACACCAUGGGAGCUGACUCAACCAGAAGACGGCCAGGCUAACCGCAAGGGGGGCCUCCGGCGAAGGGUGGGGUUGGUGACUGGGGUG